Molecule: ribosomal RNA, 559 nt
Filed under: uncultured archaeon
Lineage: Archaea
Description: bacterial SSU rRNA
Rfam family: Archaeal small subunit ribosomal RNA
Source: RNAcentral
CGGUUGAUCUGCCGGACCCGACUGCUAUCAGAGUGGGACUAAGCCAUGCGAGUCAACGCAGCAAUGCGUGGCAUACGGCUCAGUAACACGUAGUCAACAUGCCCAGGGGACGUGGAUAACCUCGGGAAACUGAGGAUAAACCGCGAUAGGCCAAGGUUUCUGGAAUGGACACUGGCUGAAACCUACAUGGCCCCUGGAUUGGACUGCGGCCGAUCAGGCUGUUGGUGAGGUAAUGGCCCACCAAACCUGUAACCGGUACGGGCUCUGAGAGGAGGAGCCCGGAGAUGGGCACUGAGACAAGGGCCCAGGCCCUAUGGGGCGCAGCAGGCGCGAAACCUCUGCAAUAGGCGACAGCUUGACAGGGUUACUCUGAGUGAUGCCCGCUAAGGGCAUCAUUAAGGAACCUCUAAAAAUGGUGCAGAAUAAGGGGUGGGCAACUCUGCUGUCAGCCGGCGCGGUAAUACACGCCCCCAAAUGGACGGGACGAUCAUUGAGGCCUCAAACAAUCCGAAACCUUGACCCUAGCAGCUCCAUCCGAUAAAAAUCCAACUGCUCAACA